AAGAAGGCCUUCGGGGUGUAANGCACUUUCAGUNGGAGGGAAGGGUUGUAAGUUAAUACCUUGCAGCUGUGACGUUACCUACAGAAAGANGACCGGCUAACUCCGUGCCAGCAGCCGCGGUAAUACGGAGGGUCCAAGCGUUAAUCGGAAUUACUGGGCGUAAAGCGUGCGCAGGCGGUUUGUUAAGCGAGAUGUGAAAGCCCCGGGCUCAACCUGGGAAUUGCAUUUCGAACUGGCAAACUAGAGUCUUGUAGAGGGGGGUAGAAUUCCAGGUGUAGCGGUGAAAUGCGUAGAGAUCUGGAGGAAUACCGGUGGCGAAGGCGGCCCCCUGGACAAAGACUGACGCUCAGGCACGAAAGCGUGGGGAGCAAACAGGAUUAGAUACCCUGGUAGUCCACGCCGUAAACGAUGUCUACUCGGAGUUUGGUGUCUUGAACACUGGGCUCUCAAGCUAACGCAUUAAGUAGACCGCCUGGGGAGUACGGCCGCAAGGUUAAAACUCAAAUGAAUUGACGGGGGCCCGCACAAGCGGUGGAGCAUGUGGUUUAAUUCGAUGCAACGCGAAGAACCUUACCUACUCUUGACAUCCAGAGAAUUCGCUAGAGAUAGCUUAGUGCCUUCGGGAACUCUGAGACAGGUGCUGCAUGGCUGUCGUCAGCUCGUGUUGUGAAAUGUUGGGUUAAGUCCCGCAACGAGC
Molecule: ribosomal RNA, 697 nt
Filed under: Shewanella sp. CGR-L1
Lineage: Bacteria; Pseudomonadati; Pseudomonadota; Gammaproteobacteria; Alteromonadales; Shewanellaceae
Description: bacterial SSU rRNA
Rfam family: Bacterial small subunit ribosomal RNA
Source: RNAcentral